Molecule: RNA transcript, 810 nt
Organism: Gossypium raimondii (Peruvian cotton)
Lineage: Eukaryota; Viridiplantae; Streptophyta; Magnoliopsida; Malvales; Malvaceae
Gene name: disease resistance protein UNI-like
Exons: 3
Source: RefSeq, a predicted model, not a curated record
UCUAACAACACCGGAAGUUUCAAGAUGCCAUGGGUUCAUCAAUUUAAUCGCAUGCUCAACACUAAGUGCCCGAUGCUCUUGGAAAGAUUGAGCAUAGAUGAUUGUGGGAUGAUAGAGGAAAUCAUAGCGUGUGAGGCCGAAGAAAUGCAGGGCGGCAUUGUAUUUCCCAAACUGCAGUAUUUGCAACUAAGCUGUCUGCCAUGUCUAGCAAGCUUUUCCUUGGCCCAUCACUCGUUGGAAUUCCCAGUCUUGCUAAUGGUGAAGGUGACAAAGUGUCCCAAAAUGAGGAAUUUCUGCCAAGGAGAUUUAAGCACACGAAGGCUGGAACAAAUGCACUUAACAAGAGAUGAGGAAGGAGAACAGCAGUGGGAAGGCGACCUUAACACUACCAUAAAACAUAUGUUCGAUGAAAUGAAUGUGCAAAAUUCUGAGGUGACGGAGGUUACUGAUCAGUUGCCCAAGUUGGAAUAAGGAAAUAUGUAUGGGUGCUUAUGCGAAAAGCUCAGUUUCGUUUCAAAUCAAAACAAAUGGUUGAGUUGCUCUACUGAAGCACAUGGCUGCAUCUGUUGGUAGAACGUGAAAUGUUAUUUCAGUUUUUGUAAAACUACAAUUUGAACUGUUCUAUUUCACAACAUAACCUCAAUAUUGAAUUUCAAGUGCAUCAUGCAUGACAUUGGGAACUACAAACAUGCAAACUUUUACUAGUAAGGUUGACCCCUGUUUUAAUAUUCCAAUUCUUCUUAAAGGUGGAUGGAUUUGCCAACUUUUGAUGGUUACCAUAUCAAUAUCAGCUUGUGGUUUAGACGAUGU